Long non-coding RNA from Oncorhynchus nerka (sockeye salmon), 714 nucleotides. RefSeq lists it as uncharacterized. NCBI's taxonomy places the organism in Eukaryota, Metazoa, Chordata, Actinopteri, Salmoniformes, Salmonidae. The record is from RefSeq and is a predicted model, not a curated record. The transcript is spliced from 2 exons.
GUCUCUCUCUCUCUCUCUGUCUCUCUCUCUGUCUCUCUCUCUCUGUCUCUCUCUCUCUGUCUCUCUCUCUCUCUCUCUCUCUCUCUCUCUCUCUCUCUCUCUCUCUCUCUCUCUCUGAUUGAUGGGGGAUUUUCACCUAACUUAUUUGACUCAUUAUGUUCCAACAGAUGGGACCAAUGGAACAUCAUCCACAGACAUGACUAGAACACAAGCCAAUCAAGACCCAGACACAGGUACCAUCACCAACCCCAUCUACACCACAACAGAUACAGCCUGUGACAUCACCACCAUAUUUGCAACGCCAACCAAUCCUUGUCCAGAUGUCAUUUACUUCAACGUUGGUCCGUCUACAGAGGUUCCAGACAAUGUGACCUACGCUACAGUCAACAUCCCCAGAGAUCCAGCCUGUCUCCACUAUACUACUGUCAACUUCCCCAGAGAUUCAAUCUGUCUCCACUAUACUACUAUCAACUUCCCCAGAGAUCCAGCCCGUCUCCACUAUGCUACUGUCAACUUCCCCAGAGAUUCAGUCUGUCUCCACUAUACUACUGUCAACUUCCCCAGAGAUUCAGUCUGUCUCCACUAUGCUACUGUCAACUUCCCCAGUCUCCUUCAGUAAAGACUCUGAUGCUAGUAACCACCCAGACACUGACCCCAACAGCUGUAGACACCUCAUAAUGUACCUCACCAUUAAACACUCUGCUACAUAGUCUA